This 41-nucleotide non-coding RNA is filed under the name Trypanosoma brucei brucei. The record is from RNAcentral. Lineage: Eukaryota; Euglenozoa; Kinetoplastea; Trypanosomatida; Trypanosomatidae.
AUUACUGAAGAGGGGGCAGUCCCUCGUAACUCGUAUAUUAU